RNAcentral lists this ribosomal RNA (460 nucleotides) under uncultured bacterium. Its description in RNAcentral is "partial 16S ribosomal RNA". It matches the Rfam family "Bacterial small subunit ribosomal RNA", at positions 338 to 795 of the family's 1533-position model. The record is from RNAcentral.
CCUACGGGUGGCAGCAGUGAGGAAUAUUGGUCAAUGGGCGGAAGCCUGAACCAGCCAAGUAGCGUGCAGGAUGACGGCCCUACGGGUUGUAAACUGCUUUUAUACGGGGAUAACGUGCCUUACGUGUAUUGCUUUGCAUGUACCGUAUGAAUAAGGACCGGCUAAUUCCGUGCCAGCAGCCGCGGUAAUACGGAAGGUCCGGGCGUUAUCCGGAUUUAUUGGGUUUAAAGGGAGCGUAGGCCGCAUGUCAAGCGUGCCGUGAAAUGCCCGGGCUCAACCCGGGCCGUGCGGCGCGAACUGGCGUGCUUGAGUGCGCGGAAGGCAGGCGGAAUUCGUGGUGUAGCGGUGAAAUGCUUAGAUAUGACGAAGAACCCCGAUUGCGAAGGCAGCUUGCUGCAGCGGAACUGACGCUGAUGCUCGAAGGCGCGGGUAUCGAACAGGAUUAGAUACCCUUGUAGUC